Molecule: long non-coding RNA, 507 nt
Organism: Canis lupus familiaris (dog)
Lineage: Eukaryota; Metazoa; Chordata; Mammalia; Carnivora; Canidae
Exons: 3
Source: RefSeq, a predicted model, not a curated record
CUUAUGAUGCCUUUAAAUACAGUGAUUGGUUUUGCUGUGGGAUGGCCAGGGAGACAUUACACUUACUGACUAUAACCAUUGAGGACAUCUUCAGAAAUAUUCCUUCAUAACAAGCUUUACAUGAAGAGAAUAGGCAUGUUAUAAGCUUAUAUGGCAAGAACCUGAUGGUGGCCUCUAGAAGCUAAGGGUGGCCCCAAGAAGACAACCAACAAGUAAUAGUAUACACAACAAUGCAAGUUUCCUUUGUUGGAGGGUCCCUCAUGGCAAGUAAACAAGAGCAGACUGUAGCUCAUGGUCACAAAGAAAUAAAGCUUUUAUUUCUAAAGCCUCAAGAGACCAAAUGCUGCCCAAAAUCGUGUAAGCCUGGAAGCAGAUUUCUCUCCAAUUGAACCUCAAAUGGUAGCCCAAACGACCAGCUAAAUCACACCUACAGAAACUUUGAGUUAAUAACUUCAGACAUCUUGCCCUCAGAAACUUUGAAUUAAUAAAUUUGUGUUUUUAAAGCCA